This 495-nucleotide ribosomal RNA is filed under the name uncultured bacterium. RNAcentral describes it as "partial 16S ribosomal RNA". It matches the Rfam family "Bacterial small subunit ribosomal RNA", at positions 28 to 507 of the family's 1533-position model. The record is from RNAcentral.
GACGAACGCUGGCGGCGUGCCUAAUACAUGCAAGUAGAACGCUGAAGGAGGAGCUUGCUUCUCUGGAUGAGUUGCGAACGGGUGAGUAACGCGUAGGUAACCUGCCUGGUAGCGGGGGAUAACUAUUGGAAACGAUAGCUAAUACCGCAUAAUAGUAGAUGUUGCAUGACAUUUGCUUAAAAGGUGCAAUUGCAUCACUACCAGAUGGACCUGCGUUGUAUUAGCUAGUUGGUGGGGUAACGGCUCACCGAGGCGACGAUACAUAGCCGACCUGAGAGGGUGAUCGGCCACACUGGGACUGAGACACGGCCCAGACUCCUACGGGAGGCAGCAGUAGGGAAUCUUCGGCAAUGGACGGAAGUCUGACCGAGCAACGCCGCGUGAGUGAAGAAGGUUUUCGGAUCGUAAAGCUCUGUUGUAAGAGAAGAACGAGUGUGAGAGUGGAAAGUUCACACUGUGACGGUAUCUUACCAGAAAGAGACGGCUAACUACGUG